GUCUACGGCCAUGCUACCCUGAACAAGCCCAAUCCCGUCUGAUCUCGGAAGCUAAGCAGGGUCGGGCCUGGUUAGUACUUGGAUGGGAGACCACCUAGGAAGACCAGGUGCUAUAGGCA
Molecule: ribosomal RNA, 119 nt
Filed under: Pteropus alecto (black flying fox)
Lineage: Eukaryota; Metazoa; Chordata; Mammalia; Chiroptera; Pteropodidae
Source: RNAcentral